Molecule: ribosomal RNA, 118 nt
Filed under: Diaphorina citri (Asian citrus psyllid)
Lineage: Eukaryota; Metazoa; Arthropoda; Insecta; Hemiptera; Psyllidae
Source: RNAcentral
ACCAGUGGCGAUAGCACGUUGAUUACAUGAGUUCUCAAUGGAGCACUGAAGUGAAGCAACGUUGCGCGUGGUUAGUAUCCGGAUGGGUGUGAACUCCCUCAAUGUUUGACCGCAGGAU